GACAGACAUCAGUGAUUCGUGCUGUGAGCCCUGGCCAACAGCCAGAUAGGCGUUCAUUCCCAGUUCUUUCAUCUGCUGUUCGCCAAUCACGCGGGUGGUGAUAUGGUCGUAGGUAUCGGCCAACUGACGCGCCUGAGACGCCAGAUAAGCGGCAUUACAGAUAUUAGGCGGCAUGUUGCCUAGAUCUUUUGC
Molecule: antisense RNA, 192 nt
Filed under: Prodigiosinella confusarubida
Lineage: Bacteria; Pseudomonadati; Pseudomonadota; Gammaproteobacteria; Enterobacterales; Pectobacteriaceae
Description: Serratia sp. ATCC 39006 Yersinia sRNA 276
Rfam family: Yersinia sRNA 276
Source: Rfam by way of RNAcentral